Helianthus annuus (common sunflower) is the source of this 263-nucleotide long non-coding RNA. RefSeq lists it as uncharacterized. The transcript is spliced from 3 exons. Lineage: Eukaryota; Viridiplantae; Streptophyta; Magnoliopsida; Asterales; Asteraceae. The record is from RefSeq and is a predicted model, not a curated record.
UUCAAAUUCAAAUUUCACAAACCCUGCAAACCUUAAUCUUCUUGCAGACGCCACCAUAAAAUCUUCUUUUGUUCAUCGAUUACUUCAUCAAAAGGGUUGUUGUCAUCGAUUGUCAUCAAAGUUUAAAUCAGCUUAGCUGCGGAUAGAUUUCUGCCAUAAGCUGUUGAAGGGAUCAUUUGAGUGAAAUCAAUGUUGAUUUAUCAGAAGAUGCAGUUGAAGAUAUCUUAAUUAAGGUAAUAAUUGUAUUACAUCAUGUUGAAAAA